Molecule: non-coding RNA, 294 nt
Organism: Cyanistes caeruleus (blue tit)
Lineage: Eukaryota; Metazoa; Chordata; Aves; Passeriformes; Paridae
Source: RefSeq, a predicted model, not a curated record
GCCCUUGGCAGAGGGUGGAACAAAAUGAGCUUUAAGGUCUUUUCCAGCCCAAACCAUUCUGGGAUUUUUGCUCAUGCUUGUCCAUCCUCCCUGAGCCCAACCAGUACAAUCUGGUUAGGAAUUCAACGUGCCAAGGCAGGUGAUGGAAGGAUUCUGGAAGGAAAGUGAAAAAUGGCAUAAAUGAGCUGCAACAACAGCCCUGCUCUGGCAAGGAGUACAAGGAGCUGGAGUAAUCCUAAAUGACAAAGGCUUUGUUUUCAUAUAAACCACUAAAACAUCGUGGAAAGAGUCUCA